UGUUUUGUUGAUUUUUAAAAAUUGUUUUUCUCAUCUCUAUUUCAUUUAUUUCUGUUCUACAUUUUAUUAUUCCUUUUACUAACUUUGGGCUUUGUUCUUAUUUUUCUAUUUCUUUGGGGUAUAACUUUAGGUUGUUUAUGUGAGAUCUUUUCUUCUAUUAAUGUGAUCAUUUGUUGCUAUAAACUUCCCUUCAAUAACUGCUUUUGCUGCAUCCCAUACAUCCCAUUUUGUUUGUUUUUUUUUUUCCAGUUUUGUUUGUUUCAAGGUAUUUUUGUCUCUGCUUUUAAUUUCUUCUUUGACCCAUUGGUUUUUCAGGAGUGUGUUGCUUAAUAUCUAUAUAUUGUGAGUUUUCCAAUUUUUCUCCUAUUAUUGAUUUCUAGUUUCAUUUCAUUGUGAUUGGAAAAGAUAUUUCACAUGAUUUCAAUCUCCAUAAAUUUGUCAAGAUUUAUUUUGUUGCUUAACAUGUGAUCUAUUCUGGAGAAUGUUCCAUGUGGCUUUCAGAAUGUGUAUUUUGCUUCUGUUGGAUAGAAUGUUAUGUAUAUGUUCAUUAUAUCUGUUUUGUAUCUAGUGUUUAACUCCACUGUUUCCUUAUUUAUUUUCUGUCUGGAUGAUCCAUCCAUUGUUGGGUGGGGUAUGGAUUUCUUCUACUAUGUAUUACUAUUUUAUGUCUUCCUGAUGAAUUGAUCCUUUUGUUAGUAUAUAUAAUGACUUUCUUUGUCUCUUAUGACAGUUUUUGACUUGAAGUCUAUUUUAUCUCAUAUAAAUAUAGCCACCUUUGCUCUCUUUUGGUUAUUUUUAUGGGAUGUGGUUUUCAUCCAUUCAUUUUCAGGCUAUUUGUGUUCCUUUCUUCCUCUCUUGCUGUAUUCCUUUGUGGCUUCUUUAUUAUUAUUAUUUGUGGUAGUAUGCUUUGAUUCUUUUCUUUUUGUCUUUUUUGUAUCUACUACAGGAUUUUGUGUGAGUGAUUACCAUGAGGCUUAUAUAAAACAUCUUGCAGUUAUAAUAGUAUAUUUUAAGCUGAUAACAAUUUUUAUUACAUACAAAGACUAUACACUUUCACUUCUCCCCCAUAUUCUAUAUUAUUUAUAACACAAUUUACAUCUUUUUAUAUUGUGUAUCCAACUAUAUACCAUCAUCACAGUAUUACAGAAUUCUGAGUUUGACUAUAUACUUACAUUUAUCAGUGAGUAUAUGUUUUCAUGUUGCUAAUACAUGUUCCUUUCAUUUCAACUUGAAGAUCUCCCUUUCACAUUUCUUGUUAGGCAAGUCCAGGGGUGAUGAACUUCCUCAGUUUUGGUUUGUCUGGGAAGGUCUUUCUCUUUCUUUCCUUUUUGAAGGAUGGCUUUGCUGGGUAUGUUUUUGAUUGGCAGUUUUUUUUUUUCUUUCAGCACUUUGAGCAUAUCAUUCCACUUUCUCUUGGUCUGCAGGGUUUUUGGCAAGAAACCCAUUGAUAGUCUUAUGGAGUUUCCUUUGUAUGUGUUGAGUUGUUUUUAUUUUGCUGCUUUAAAAAUUCUCUGGUAAAAAUAAUUUGAGGAGGUUAAAAAAUAAAAUAAAACAAAAAUUUAAAAAAUCUCUCUUUGUCUUUGAUUUUUGACUAUUUGAUUAUAAUGUGUUUUGGUGAAGACCUUUUUAUUCUCAAUGUAUAUGUAGUUCUUUGGGUUUAAUGGAUCUGGGUGUUUUUUUUUCUCUUUACAGAUUUGGAAGGUUUUCUGUUAUUUUAUUUUUUGUAGUUUUUACAGUUUUAUUUAAACAGAACGUGCACAUGAGCUGUCUACUCAUUUUCUUCACUGCACAGCUUGGCAUUGGGGUUAGUGACUCUGAUGGCCAGGAGGCAGCUCUUUCCAUGAUGGCUUUGUGGUUCUUGGAGGAAAUAUUGUAAGCAAUCUCAGCACAGUAAGAUUUGUUGCACAUCAGCAGCACUUCCAGGUCCUUCAUGUUGUGGACCAGGAACUUCUGGAAGCCACUGGGCUGCAUAUGCUUUGUUUUUUUGUUGCUCCCAUAACCAGUGUUGGGCAUCAAGAUCUGGCCCUUGAACCUUCCGCGAACCCUGUUGUCAAUAUCUCUGGGUUUCUGCCAGUUACGCUUAAUUUUGACAUAUCAGUCUGACUGGUGCCAGAUGAACUUCUUUGUUCUCUUUUUGUGAUCUUGGACUUUACAAGGGGUCUGAGGGUGGCCAUGAUGCCAACGAGGAGAUGGCUGCCACCUUGGCAAUGCCAAGGAAGAGAGCCAUUAUAUUUUAAAAUAAGCUUUCUUUCCCUUUCUCUUUCUCUGGUCCUUUUGGGAUUUCUGUAAUAUGUAUAUUAUUUUACUUGAUGUUUUCAUAAGUCCAGCAGAGUUGAGCCAGCUGCUAAGACCCAUGCCUCUUGUUAAUGUUCAUGUUCUCUCUGCAGCAGUUAAUAUGGGCCAUGCACAAUGGUAUUGGGCCCCAUACAUGUAUUGGGCCCCAUAUAUGGUGGGGUAGGUCAUGUAGGGUACAUAGACUUGUUGGGUGGGGUUCCUCAGGUGAGUCAUCUGAUGAGAUUUGUGGGCAAAUCUCCUGCUGGGGCCUGUGAGCUAGUUGGCAGAAUCUGUGGUUGGUUGUUGAAACCACAUGCCAGUUUCUGUGCACUCCACUCCCUUCUCCCUGUUCCUAGGUGAUCAGUCAUUUGUAUUCUGGGCAGGGAGAGACAUAAGUGAGCCUCUUGGUCAGUGUUCUUCAAGUCUGGGGAAGCUAGGUGUUUACUAUACUUUCACCUUCCCCUGUAGGAGAAAUGGAAGGCCAAAAAAGCUUCCCUCAGCACAAGCUGUGCCUCUGUGGGGAAGGGAUAAUGCAGGUAAAGUGGAACUGCACGUGUUACCCUUUUCAGUGCUUCCACUCUUGGGUUGAUUUGCUCCAGUGGCAUGCUGGAACCUCAGCCAGACUCCAGGCCUCCCACGUAGUGAUUCUCAUCUGUCAUUGCCUGCCUUAACUGGUGUUUCUAUAGGGGGAUGGGAGCUGGAACAUCCUACCCUGCCGUGCUACUGAUUUCACUCCUGACUGAAUUUUGAAGAAUGAACAGAACUCACUAGAUGUAUAAGGAGAAAAGAGCAUCCUAAGCAGAGGGAACUCCAGUUACAAAGGCAGAGAAAUUUAAUCUAUCAAGGUGUUUGUGAUGGACAGAUUUUAGACAUGGAUUCAUCAACGAGCAGUUGCAGUACUGUACGUGAGAGAAGUCAGGAGUGAUAGUGGAGCUAAGAGACAGAGACAUCAGGAAAGGGAUUCUUUCUGUUGCAAGUAAUGAAAAGUCAACUAAAAAUGGCUUAUGAGAAAGAAAAGGAAGAUAUUGAUUCAUAAAAAUGGAAAAUCCAUGGUCACAAGGCCUUCAGGACAUUGACAUUUUGGAGGGCCUAGGCUAGCUGUUUUGUACAAUGUCUUUCAAUUUGGAUUUGCCUGAUUGUUUCCUCAUGAUUAGAUUCAGCUUAAACAUUUUUUGGCAAGACUACGCCAUAGGUGAUGUGUGGCCAGUCACUUCAGGUGCUACUCUUAGACAACUGCUGGCCAGCUGCCUGUGCGUACUACCAUCCCAUCCCCACCUUCCAUCAUUUCCAUCACCUGAAGUCUUCCAGAUGGAGUCUAAUUCUAUGGCCUAGGUUGGAGUGUAAAUGGUGUGAUCAGGGCUCACUGCAAACUUCACCUCCUGGCUUCAAGUGAUUCUCGUGCCUCAGCCUCCCAAGUAGCUGGGAUUACAGGUGAGUGUCACCAUGCCUGGCUGAUUUUUGUAU
Long non-coding RNA from Cebus imitator (Panamanian white-faced capuchin), 3738 nucleotides. RefSeq lists it as uncharacterized. The transcript has 5 exons. The record is from RefSeq and is a predicted model, not a curated record. NCBI's taxonomy places the organism in Eukaryota, Metazoa, Chordata, Mammalia, Primates, Cebidae.